GGUGAUAAUCCCCUCCAAAUGCAGUAUUUAACACCUAUCAGGUAGGUGACAAGUGCUGCAGUGUAAGGAGGAUUAGCACA
Molecule: non-coding RNA, 80 nt
Organism: Podarcis lilfordi (Lilford's wall lizard)
Lineage: Eukaryota; Metazoa; Chordata; Lepidosauria; Squamata; Lacertidae
Source: the annotation of a GenBank genome assembly